Molecule: ribosomal RNA, 253 nt
Filed under: uncultured prokaryote
Description: partial 16S ribosomal RNA
Rfam family: Bacterial small subunit ribosomal RNA
Source: RNAcentral
UACGGAGGGUGCAAGCGUUAUCCGGAUUUACUGGGUUUAAAGGGUGUGUAGGCGGGCUUUUAAGUCAGUGGUGAAAUCUCUGGGCUCAACCUGGAAACUGCCAUUGAUACUAUUAGUCUUGAAUAUUGUGGAGGAAGGCGGAAUGUGUCAUGUAGCGGUGAAAUGCAUAGAUAUGACACAGAACACCGAUUGCGAAGGCAGCCUUCUACGCAAUUAUUGACGCUGAGGCACGAAAGCGUGGGGAUCAAACAGG